Molecule: long non-coding RNA, 540 nt
Organism: Arachis stenosperma
Lineage: Eukaryota; Viridiplantae; Streptophyta; Magnoliopsida; Fabales; Fabaceae
Exons: 4
Source: RefSeq, a predicted model, not a curated record
AAGAAACUUGUUCCAAUUUUUCUUGCGUACUACUUGAAUAGCAUGAUGAGGUUCAAAAUUUUAAAUUUCUUAACCCUGUGCGUUUCUUCUUUUUCACAGUUUUGUACAGAAAUAUGAUCCCUAGUAACUUUACAAUGAGAUUAAAUGUGAAUCAGCAACUUUCACCGGAGUUGGAUCUCUUCAUGAAACAGAGGCUCCAAAAUUAUGAGUUAAAACGAAGCAAAAUCGCUUUUUGUGUUUUCAAAAUCACACAAAGGAACCUAUGAUGGAGAGUGUCCCUUCUACUGCUCUUACUCAGGCUAUAAUGAUGAACUUAUGUGGUUAGCAACAUGGUUAUACAUGGCUACGAGGAAGCCUGCGUAUUUGAAGUACAUACAAGAAGAAUCGAUAAGUGCUAGCGUAACAGAAUUUAAUUGGGAUCUUAAAUAUGCAGGAGCCCAAAUCCUUCUUACCAAGUUGAAGAUGGGUAUUUGCAACCAGGAUGCAGUCAAGCAGUUGCAAUCCAUGAUGGAAAAUGGUGUGUUCUUCACAACCUUCAAA